CUCUCUCUCUCUCUCUCUCUAGCCCAAAACCCUCUUUCUUUGAGGAGCAACCAUCUGAAGCUACAACCUCGUAGAUUUGGCCCGCUAAUCAAGUAUGUUUAAUGGAUUUGUUUUAUUUUGAGAAAAACAAGAUUAAUGGCGGAUUAGAGUAUUGAGAUAGAAAAACCCCAAAAUGUGUCAAUGGUAGAUAAGAGAAUUAGGAUUUUUGGGUUAUGCCCUAUACACUAGGAAAAUGAUGAGGGAUAGAAACUGAUUUCACCAUUUAGAGAAGAAAUUUGUUAUUGCAAGGUGUAUUAGUCAAAAUCAGGGUUCAGGUUGUGUUUUUUUUUUUUGGGUAAGUUAGUGUUUUCUUAUAUUCAUGCUCAUCUCUGGAUGCGAAAUUGUACACAAAUUUUAUUUUUAUUUUUUUGGCCCCUUAGAUUAGCUGGAGUUUGUAAUCAAUUAUGUUAAUCUUAAGUAUUGUGUGUAAUAAUCAUUUUUUGCUCGGGGCCUCUUGUCCUUCUUCAUUUUUUUUUGGUGAAAAUUUUGGUUUCUUUGAGUUUAUUUAGGGAAAUUAUUGUAAAGCCUUUGGGUCUUCUCUUAAAUUUGAUUACCAUUUUACUGUGGAGCUCAUGUUAGUCAGGGAUAUCUGAAAUAAGAGGUUUCAUUUCUAGGCCAUUGUUUUUACUUAUGCAUUAUUUGUUUGG
RNAcentral lists this long non-coding RNA (686 nucleotides) under Amborella trichopoda. RNAcentral describes it as "long non-coding RNA (ATRI_LNC000370)". Lineage: Eukaryota; Viridiplantae; Streptophyta; Magnoliopsida; Amborellales; Amborellaceae. The record is from RNAcentral.